CAAGCAAGUCUGAGAAUAACCCAUCAGAACCCACCCUCCGAUCCAAACAGCCCCAGUGGGGGUGAGAGAUGGGGAAGGCCUCGACCCUCCAGAUCAAGUUCAAGCCAUCCCCCUGCCUGGUGGACGGCCCAUCCAGCCACUUUCUCUCCUUUCUGGGUUUGGGCAGCAGACGAAGGAUCCAAGUCAGAGGCUGCCAGGGAGGCAAUCAUUUUGGAUCUGCAGGUGCAUGUGGGCUGGAGCUGUGAGGUCAGAAGAAGCACCUAUGAGGAAUGCGGGCUCCCUUGUGUGCUUCCCGUACCCCAAACUUACCCAUGGAGAGUGACAGCCAGGUUCUGUCAGCCAGAAUCUUCAGUGUCGGUCCCCGGACGCUGUCCCGCGGCUAUCGUGACCUAUUGUUUCCACGUGAAAACAACUUGCAGAGCAGACGGCACCCCGUGCUGGAAAGAGCUGAUGGGAGGUCACAGAUGCCAGUCUCAUGAAGCCCGUGCCCUUCAACAGCUGUGUGACCUUGGGAAGCUCCACCCACAAUGAGGGACCAGGCAGCAUCCCCUGGCUCCCAGAUUAGGUGCUGGGAUCUUUUUUCACGAUGAUGAUGAUUUUUGAGCAGUCCCUUAAGGCUUUGUGAGGAAAGCGGCCUGCAAGCCACG
This is a long non-coding RNA of Hyaena hyaena (striped hyena), 647 nucleotides long. RefSeq lists it as uncharacterized. The transcript is spliced from 3 exons. The record is from RefSeq and is a predicted model, not a curated record. Lineage: Eukaryota; Metazoa; Chordata; Mammalia; Carnivora; Hyaenidae.